Molecule: ribosomal RNA, 547 nt
Filed under: Kluyvera ascorbata
Lineage: Bacteria; Pseudomonadati; Pseudomonadota; Gammaproteobacteria; Enterobacterales; Enterobacteriaceae
Description: partial 23S ribosomal RNA
Rfam family: Bacterial large subunit ribosomal RNA
Source: RNAcentral
AAUCAGCAUGUGUGAUAGUGGAACGGUAUGGAAAGGCCGGCGAUACAGGGUGAUAGCCCCGUACACAAAAUUGCAUGUGUUGUGAGCUCGAUGAGUAGGGCGGGACACGUGGUAUCCUGUCUGAAUAUGGGGGGACCAUCCUCCAAGGCUAAAUACUCCUGACUGACCGAUAGUGAACCAGUACCGUGAGGGAAAGGCGAAAAGAACCCCGGCGAGGGGAGUGAAAAAGAACCUGAAACCGUGUACGUACAAGCAGUGGGAGCAUCCUUCGGGGUGUGACUGCGUACCUUUUGUAUAAUGGGUCAGCGACUUAUAUUCUGUAGCAAGGUUAACCGAAUAGGGGAGCCGCAGGGAAACCGAGUCUUAACUGGGCGUUAAGUUGCAGGGUAUAGACCCGAAACCCGGUGAUCUAGCCAUGGGCAGGUUGAAGGUUGGGUAACACUAACUGGAGGACCGAACCGACUAAUGUUGAAAAAUUAGCGGAUGACUUGUGGCUGGGGGUGAAAGGCCAAUCAAACCGGGAGAUAGCUGGUUCUCCCCGAAAGCU